GGCGAACGGGUGAGGAACACGUGAAGAAUCUGCCCUCCACUUUGGGAUAACACAGGGAAACCUGUGCUAAUACCGAAUAUUGAAACAUAAGUGGCAUCACCGAGUUUUGAAAGAAUUUCGGUGGAGGAUGACUUCGCGGCCUAUCAGCUAGUUGGUGAGGUAAUGGCUCACCAAGGCAACGACGGGUAGCCGGCCUGAGAGGGCGACCGGCCACACUGGGACUGAGACACGGCCCAGACUCCUACGGGAGGCAGCAGUGGGGAAUAUUGGGCAAUGGAGGAAACUCUGACCCAGCGACGCCGCGUGCGGGAUGAAGGCCUUCGGGUUGUAAACCGCUUUCAGUAGGGAAGAAGCGAAAGUGACGGUACCUACAAAAGAAGCACCGGCUAACUAUGUGCCAGCAGCCGCGGUAAUACAUAGGGUGCAAGCGUUGUCCGGAAUUAUUGGGCGUAAAGAGCUCGUAGGUUGUUUGUUACGUCGGAUGUGAAAACCUGAGGCUCAACCUCAGGCCUGCAUUCGAUACGGGCAAACUAGAGUUUGGUAGGGGAGACUGGAAUUCCUGGUGUAGCGGUGGAAUGCGCAGGUAUCAGGAGGAACACCAAUGGCGAAGGCAGGUCUCUGGGCCAAUACUGACACUGAGGAGCGAAAGUCUGGGGAGCGAACAGGAUUAGAUACCCUGGUAGUCCAGACCGU
RNAcentral lists this ribosomal RNA (693 nucleotides) under uncultured Micrococcineae bacterium. RNAcentral describes it as "bacterial SSU rRNA". It matches the Rfam family "Bacterial small subunit ribosomal RNA", at positions 97 to 803 of the family's 1533-position model. The record is from RNAcentral. Lineage: Bacteria; Bacillati; Actinomycetota; Actinomycetes; Micrococcales.